RNAcentral lists this small RNA (62 nucleotides) under Ventosimonas gracilis. RNAcentral describes it as "Repression of heat shock gene expression (ROSE) element". It matches the Rfam family "Repression of heat shock gene expression (ROSE) element". Lineage: Bacteria; Pseudomonadati; Pseudomonadota; Gammaproteobacteria; Pseudomonadales; Ventosimonadaceae. The record is from Rfam by way of RNAcentral.
UUGCAGAUGCCGAAAUCGGGUCUGUUAAUUUUUCGCUGAAUAUCAGGAGAAUAGCCAUGAGU